UGGAGAGACUAAGUCAGUGUGAGCUAGCAUCAAGACUCACUCUCAAUUGUUCUUCAGACUACGUACAACCUCAAAAAAUACAGGUUCACCUUCGAGCACACGAGGGCAGUCACUUAAGUGCUUCUGACUCUGGCACCCCUGUUGACCGAUAGCAGUGCCCAGAUAUUGCCUUAGUAAGACAGAUUUACAUUUGUAGUAGCAUUGUGUUAAUAUGUCUAUUAUAUCCUAUAAAUUGUAUUUGAUACAUACAUUUGCUAGUUAUGCCAACCUCAGAAAUUUAUUUUCUAUAUUAUGCUUUUAUACAUCUGUUGAAUUAUUAUUAUUGUAAUGGGAAUGCCAGGUAGGAAAGAUACCUAUGUUUUUUACCUUGUUUAUUAAGUUUUCCUUCUGUGGAUACCUUAGGGCUUUCAGGUGGGGGUUGUCUACAGUUUCAUUUCCAAAUAUUAUCUUUAGAGUUGGUAAACAGCAACCACCCAAGGAGGCACCCACCCAGGCAUAGCAGAGCAAAACUGAGGCCUGUUAAAUCUUUGCACUCUGCCAGGAUUGUUGGUCUUUUCCUUCUGCAAUAACCUGAACACAAAAGAUGACAAGUAAAUCUCUCAAACAUUUUACAUUCAAAAUAUAAUAUCAUACACUAUGAUGAGUUGGGUACAAUACUACUAAUUUGUAUUAGUAAUAAAGAAAAAGGAUUAUCUUUGUAUAAGAUUAAUACACUUGCAGAUGUACUUUAACUCAUGAUAUAUUGUUAUAAAUAAUAAUAUUCUCUUCAUAUCAGCUAUGUACAAAUGGCAGUAAAGUAAACAUCUGUUGAAGAUGAGUGAAUUAUGAAUGAUCUAUGUGCAGUAGAUUAUACACUUGAAAUGCUGUGUUGAAAGUUUCCAAUUUUCAAGAUAGCAAUCAUAAUUAUGUGAAAUAGUAUAAUGAAUUAUACAGUACUUACAAAUGGUUGGGAGGUAAAAUGCUGACAAAGAGGCUUACAUGUGAGAAAGCCUAUAUUCGACAACUGUUCACUUAAAAAUCUCAUGAUUGAGGGAAAUGUCUAAUAAAGGCUUGGCUCUGCUGUAAGUGUCUUAGUAUAAUUAUAAUGGUAUACUAUAGUGACAAGCAGAUAAGUAAGCUACAUGUCCGGCAAGUGGGUAUCUUUAUUGUCAAAAUGUUUCACCUAUACAGUAAGCUUUGUUAGUCGAAUACAAAGGAGACAGCAGAAGCAGUAGAGAGGCAAGACUGUGAUCAAUCCAUCAACCUUGAAGAUAUGUUUUUGAGGUGGUCAGUCCCUUAGCCUGGAGAAGUGUUCGGCUCCAUAGUGUUGAACAAUAGAACUGAACUAUGGAGCUGAACAUCUCCAAGCUGAGGGACUGGCUACCACAAAACUAAAAGUUUUGACAAUAAAGAUACCGAACUGUUGCACAUGUCUUACUCAUCCAAGUGUCUUAAUAAUGCAGUACAAGUGUCCCUUGCUCUAUGUGAUAGAUGCUUUCCAGGAUAUAUGGUGUUUAUAACAGCAGCUGUAGUAAUAAAAGUGCACUGCAUCUAUCCUCACUUUGUGUUGCAAACUGCACCUUAUCUAAGACUGAAUUUAUGACACACAGGUAAUUACUAGUAGAAAUCUAGUCAAUGCACAAGAGCAAAUUUACAUAAAGCAAACCAGCAUAAAGCCAGGGAUGACUGUACUUAUGAAUCCUGUACUGCUAACACAAACUGUAAUUUUGAAUUUGAGAGAGAUUUUGUACACUAGCCUAUUAUAACAGAUUCGUGUAUAAGUGAAAAUUUGUAUGUUUAUAUGAAGUAAAAUUUAAGAUUAAUUUUUA
Cherax quadricarinatus is the source of this 1808-nucleotide non-coding RNA. Lineage: Eukaryota; Metazoa; Arthropoda; Malacostraca; Decapoda; Parastacidae. The record is from RefSeq and is a predicted model, not a curated record.